CUGGAACGUUAUGAUCUUCACUGAGCUUAUGCGACACCUGGAUUGCGAUUGCAGUCUUACCAAACCCAGGUCCGCCAUGGAGUGAGACAACUGCUUUUCCUUCGUCUUGCAAAAAACUAAUGACGUUUUGGAUCUCGGCUUCACGCGCAGUGAAUAUUGGCAAUUUAUCUGGUAAACAACUCGUUAGUUCUCGUUCCUCGUUCUGUCGUUCGUUCAUCUUAGCGAGAUCAUCACGAUAUUGCCCAUUGCUG
This is a non-coding RNA of Paramuricea clavata, 251 nucleotides long. The record is from the annotation of a GenBank genome assembly. Lineage: Eukaryota; Metazoa; Cnidaria; Anthozoa; Malacalcyonacea; Plexauridae.